RNAcentral lists this long non-coding RNA (3778 nucleotides) under Homo sapiens (human). Its description in RNAcentral is "HSALNT0274463". Lineage: Eukaryota; Metazoa; Chordata; Mammalia; Primates; Hominidae. The record is from RNAcentral.
AUCCACUUUCUGUCUACUUGCUCUGCUAAUUAUUGAGAGACCAGCCUGGGCAACAAAGUGAGACACCAUCUCUACAAAAAAUCAAAAACUCACCCAUCCAUGGCAGCGCAUGCCUGCAAUCCUAGCUACUUGGGAGGCUGAGGCAGGAGGAUUUCUUGAGCCCAGGAAGUCAAGGCUGCAGUGAGCCGUGAUUGUGCCAUUGCAUUUGAGCCUGGGUGGCAGAGCAAGACCCUGUCUCAAACAAACAAAUUCUUGAUAGCGGUGUUGAAACCUCUGACUGUAAUUGCAGAUUUGUCUGUAAUUUUUCCUUGCAGCUCUAUCAGCUUUUGCUUCAUGUGUUUUGAGACUCUGUGCUCACAUCGUGCAUGCUCCUGACUGGUUGACCCCUGUGUCAUCAUGAAAUGACCCUCUUUAUCCCUAGACUCUGACUUGAAAUUGACUCCUGCUUUCCUUUGAUUAGUUUAGCAUGGGAUAUCUUCUUUUACCUUGUUACUUUUUACCUAGUGUGUCUUAUACUUAAAUUAGCUUCAUUGGAGAUUUCCAUAGGAUCAAAGUAUCUGCUUUGACAUAUUUAUUAACCUAAAAAAGUAAUAACAGCUUUUCAGUGCAGAAACCACCUUAUCUAUGUGACAAAGCUCGGGCCAUCAGUGGCAAGGUAGAUUGGCAUCACGUACCUUUGAUACAACAACCUGAGAAGGACGUCACUUCUGCGAUAUUCCUGCCAAAAAUGCAUCUCCGCAUUCCGAUCGUGAGAACAUCCUGGGCACACCCAAACUGAGAGACACCAUACAAAGUGACUGGUCAGUGCACUCAAAGGCAAAAAGCUCAUGGAAGGCAACAGAAGACAGGAGAAGUGACAGCUAAAAGCAGCGUGGAAUCCUGGAAGGGACAAAGAACACGAGCAGAGAAACUGUAGAAGCUGAGUGAGGGCAGCGGUCCAGCUUGCGCUGUUUUGCUGGGGUGAUUCUGGCUUUGAUGACCUUGUUUUGAGCCUCAGGUUUUCCUUAGGAUUCCGUGUGUGUUCCCCGCCUGGCCCCUCCGCAGCGACUCUGCUGUCAGUGGCUGCCCCAGGGUGGAGAGUGACCUACCUCCGGCUUCUCCUGUCCCGGCUUCUCCUGUGCCAGCCGGUCAGGCACACUGACAAACUUAGCCUUCCGUUCUGUUGGUCUGUGAUGACCGUUUCCACGUCCUGCUUUCUGAGAGCAUUUGCCUGGUGUAGACGUCCCCGUUUUCAGCGGUUAUGCGUCCCUCUAGUUUCGGUGAUGCCCUGAGGUUUACUUCCUGCAUUUUUAAGCCCACGUUUCCCCAGCACUCAUGUGUGGCCAGCGUCUGAUUCUUCCUCCAGAGCAAGACAGGGAAGCCACUGCACUUCAGCUGCCUUCACAAGUCUCCUCUGCCACCCCCGCUGAGGCCGUCUGGAAGUUUAAUUCUAGGCUAUUAUUAAAUUUCUAUAAAAUUGUUUCAACUUUACUGAGAUAUAAUUCACAAAUAGGAAUUGUGUAUAGUUAAGGUGUAUGACUUGAUGUUCUGAUACACGCUGUGAAUGAUCACUGCAGUCAAGCUAUUUCACAUGCUCACACCUCACAGUGACUACCAAGUUGGUGAAAAGAGUAACUGCGGUGUUUGCAAUUAGAAGCAAUUAUUUUUGCACCAACCUAAAAUAUUUUCUUUUUUUUUUUUUUUUUGUCGCCCAGCCUGGACUGCCGUGGUGAAAUCUUGGCUCACUGCAGCCUCUGCUUCCCAGGUUCAAUCAAUCUUGCCACCUCAGCCUCCCCAGUAGCUGGGACUAUGGGCACGUGCCACCAUGUCCAGCUAGUUUUUUUUGUUUUUUUUUUUUUUUGUAUUUUUAGUAGAGAUGGGGUUUCGCCAUGUUGCCCAGACUGGUCUUGAACUCCUGGCCUCAAGUGAUCCACCCACCGUCGGCCUCCCAAAGUGCUGGGAUUACAGGCAUGAGCCACCGCACCAGCUUCUUUUAUUUUCUUUGUGUGUGUUGAGAACACUUAAGAUCUAUCCUCUCAGCCCAUGUCCAGCAUCCAGUACAGCAUUGUUAACCAUGGCCACCUAGGACAGCGCUCCCCAGAAACUGAAUUUGCCAGCACCUUGAUCGUGGACUUCCAGCCUCCAGAACAGCGAGAAGAAUCGCUUCUAGGUUUUGACCAGCCGGCCUGUGGCAUUUUGCUACAACAGCCUGGGCAGCCUGCAGUGCUCUGUGCUUUGUUCUCUUUCAUUUUGUUUUGUUUUCUGUAAUUCACCUUUGAGAAACUCGUUCAGGAAGGAUGCAUGGGUGACAUUUUCUGCAUCCUCACAUUUUGUCACUGGGUGUGGCCGGGUCUGUGAGUCUAGACACAAAGCCAGUCACCUGGGGACGCUGCCACCUGAAGGCCUGCGUGGCCGGGUCUGUGACUGUAGACACAAAGCCAGUCACCUGGGGACGCUGCCACCUGAAGGCCUGCGUGGCCGGGUCUGUGACUCUAGACAAAAAGCCAGUCACCUGGGAACUCUGGGACACCCUCUUCUCUCACCCAUUGCUGUGGGGAAGCCUGGGGAUGGGUUUUCUUGUUUUGGUUUUUUAUCAUGUUGGUGUUUUGUUUUGUUUUUUUUUUGAGAUGGAGUUUCCCUCUUGUCUCCCAGGCUAGAGUGCAAUGGCGUGAUCUCGGCUCACUGCAACCUCCGCCUCCUGGGUUCAAGCGAUUCUCCUGCCUCAGCCUCCUGAGUAGCUGGGAUUACAGGCAUGCACCACCACGCCUGGCUAAUUUUUGUAUUUUUAGUAGAGACGGGGUUUCACCAUGUUGGUCAGGCUGGUCCCGAACUCCUGACUUCAGGUGAUCCACGCACCUCGGCCUCCCAAAGUGCUGAGAUUACAAGCAUGAGCCAUCGCACCCAGCCCAUAGUGGUUUUUAAAUCUUUCCUUUUGCCCUCAUUGUUCUAAAAUUUUAUGAAGAUGAAGACAUAUCUCGUGUCUCAUUCACGGAGAGCCGAUUCUGUAACAGCCGCUGCUCUGGGCGCCGGGAGAAACCGUGAGGAGCAGGCAGAGCUUCCGUCGCGGGGCCCACAGGGCCCAGGUGUGCAUUAUUUCCCUCCCAUCAAUCCUGUUCUUCUUCUGAAACUCUCAGUGUGCAGAUGUUGGAAUGUCUGGCUUCGUCCUCCAUUUCCUUUUUUUUUUUUUUCAUACUUUCCCUCUAUCUCGCUCUGCUGUGUACAAAAAAACUUGGGCAUUUUCAAGUACAAAGCAAAGGAAGCAAUAAAGCAUCCCCAGAUAUUUGAGGAAAGCUGACAUCACAAAGUGGAGAAUUCCUUGACUGUGUGUUCCAGGCACAAGUUCGUUCUUCAGCCUUUUCUUCCUGUUAUUCACCCCAUCACUUUUUAAUUUUUUUUGGAUGUCACAUUUUUCAUAUUUAUAUUUUCAGUUCCGUUUUUAAGGCUGUAUCUUCUCUAUGGAUAAAUAAACCUGUGAAGACGUACUGCCCUUUUCUCGAGGGUGUUGUUUGCUCUGCUUCCUUGAUACCUGCUGACUUUGGGGGCCCCUUUUUGGUAGUGAUUGGUUUUCCUCAAACAUUUGAUGGUUCUGGGUUGUCUAGUGAUUCCAUGAAAAUUGGUUGGCUGCAUAUUUAACCAAUUUUAGGUUAAAAUUGGUUGGCACCCAAAAUAACAGUGGCUUUAACACACAGUAUUCCCUUCUCACAUAAGAAAGGACUCUGGAGGGCGGGGCCCUAAAGAGCCUGUCACCUCCCACUCCACCACACCCGGCGGGUGCCUCAUCCUCAUGGCCCCAGAAGGC